AAGGCAAUGUGUUAGUCACAAUAGUGUUCCGUAUCGAUCUCUCGGGAUCUGCGUGACGGAUAUGUCAGGUGAGUGCCAAUCUAACGUAUAUCACGCACAACGUCUGGGCGUAGCUACUCCGUGGAUCUUGCUGCAUUAUUCAUGCCCACGCAUAUAUCAAAUCUGUCUUGCGUAUUAGCAUAAUGCGAGACAAGACUCCGGGCGACGAAUCCGAUGAGAAUAAGGACGAGAGCUCUAUUUUAAUUGCAUGCCCUGGUUGCAACGUAAUAAAGGAAGAAAAAAAGGAGCACGUCAUCCUUCGACGACCACUUAUCGUGACAGCUGGAUUAUGUCUUUUUAAC
Molecule: long non-coding RNA, 341 nt
Organism: Atta colombica
Lineage: Eukaryota; Metazoa; Arthropoda; Insecta; Hymenoptera; Formicidae
Exons: 2
Source: RefSeq, a predicted model, not a curated record